This 229-nucleotide ribosomal RNA is filed under the name uncultured prokaryote. RNAcentral describes it as "partial 16S ribosomal RNA". The record is from RNAcentral.
GCAGGGCGUUGAGUUCGAUAAUGGUGCUAUGUAUGUUGACGGCCAUAAGGCUGCUUCUGACGUUCGUGAUGAGUUUGUAUCUGUUACUGAGAAGUUAAUGGAUGAAUUGGCACAAUGCUACAAUGUGCUCCCCCAACUUGAUAUUAAUAACACUAUAGACCACCGCCCCGAAGGGGACGAAAAAUGGUUUUUAGAGAACGAGAAGACGGUUACGCAGUUUUGCCGCAAG